Molecule: long non-coding RNA, 1490 nt
Organism: Lolium rigidum
Lineage: Eukaryota; Viridiplantae; Streptophyta; Magnoliopsida; Poales; Poaceae
Exons: 4
Source: RefSeq, a predicted model, not a curated record
UCUUAUGAUGACAAUGGAAAUGCCACUGCAGUACAUGAUUCAAGAGAAAAGAGAAAAGUGAAGAACAUGAUGAGUUGAUGGCAAAGGUCCAAAAGUAUGGGAAUGCGGACAAGAGCACAUCGGAAGUCAGCUACAUGAACUGCACGACAAAUGCUUGCUACACUCGCCUAGCCUGAUCAAGGAGUCCAGGUUGCCCUCAUACCUCGAGAAGAUAUUGUUGUGAACUGUAGUGCAGAUGCUUGCGAAAAAAGAUUAGAAACAAUGGAUAGUUAAGAGGGCUAAGUUGCUGAAAUAUUAACACCUGACUGGAAAAUGAAUGCAACCAACUUUAGCAUUCGUAGUAAGAUUCUUUUAUCAAUAACUUGUGCCAGUAAUUAUGUUAAAUGACCACAAAUAUGACGACGGGGAACCCACUGAUAACACGAGUUUUGUGAAAAAAAUUCAGUUAUCAUGUGCUCACUGGUCGCUACAACUCCUUAUGAGUUUUCCCUUUAUUUUUGCAUGUGAAGCAGAGGAAGGAGAAGCAAGCUUGGCUCAAGGAUUUUAACUAUGAUGUAUUUUGCCCUGGAAACAGGCAAUACGAGCAUUUCAAUAAGGUGCUUGAUUAAAUAUGAGAUGUUUCUAAGUUAACAAAGGUUGAAUGGUUUUACGGUAAAUGAUACUGAGCUUAUCUCCAUGCAAUAUUUAGGUUGCAGUGGUGGUGAAUGACCUACUACUGAAGCCGGUUAAGCAAUUCAUUUUAUAUUAUUUUCCAAGUAAUUUUGGAGAAAACAGAACAAGUGCAUUACUCCGUGUGGGAACAAUUUGUUGCAGCUGAAUGCAACUAUAUUUUCCUAUUAUAGCAGUUUCUAAAGCUGGACACUUCUUGCAACAUUAAAAGUUAGGUUUUGACGACUUUAAUUAAAAUAUAAUUUGUUUCUGUUACCUCGGAAAAACCAUCUUUGCAAUGGUAAGGAUAGCUGUAACUUUGGGUAGGGAUCGAUUAAUACAUCAAGUUCAUGUAGUGCUCAAGAUUUUAAUAUUUUUUUGAGAUUGCGGCUUUUUAAGCUUGGUAUGAACUGGAUGCCACACCGAGUCGACUAUGAGGAUGGAGGGAUACUAUUAUCUUGAAUUCUUGAUCUCAUCUUGAUCAAGUCUAGGGUGAGUGCGGCUUUUUAAGCUUGGUAUGUUGUGGUUGUGUGAGAGAUUGAGAGUGGAGAGACUUGAGCGUGGAGAGAUGUGAGUGAGUAUUGUUGUGAUGAUGUUGCUUUUCAUGAUCUUGCAAAAUUGUCGAACAGAGAUACACAGAUUGAAUAUUUUAUUGGAGGCGCUCCAAAUGAAGUUGGAGAGUGGCCAAGAGGAAGGAAUUGAUUGUAUGAUUUAUUUUCAUACAUACUUCCGUAUGUUAGUCCCCUUUCCACCUCUCUGUAUGAUUGCAAUCAGUAUUAUCAUGAUGUAGUAUAUUGCGAUAUCUCUGAUUUGUUUUGAAUUUUAUAGUGAGUUGCGAAUUA